AACGUAGGUGGCAAGCGUUAUCCGGAUUUACUGGGCGUAAAGCGUGUGCAGGCGGGGGUACAAGUGGUGUAUGAAAUUUCCCAGCUUAACUGGGAAGGGUUAUGCCAGACUGUACUUCUGGAGUGCGAGAGAGGGGCGUGGAAUUCCGGGUGUAGUGGUGAAAUGCGUAGAGAUCCGGAGGAACCCCAGAGGCGAGGGCGGCGCCCUGGCUCGCAACUGACGCUCAGACACGACAGCAUGGGGAGCGAACGGG
Molecule: ribosomal RNA, 253 nt
Filed under: uncultured bacterium
Lineage: Bacteria
Description: partial 16S ribosomal RNA
Rfam family: Bacterial small subunit ribosomal RNA
Source: RNAcentral